GGUUAAGCGACUAAGCGUACACGGUGGAUGCCCUGGCAGUCAGAGGCGAUGAAGGACGUGCUAAUCUGCGAAAAGCGUCGGUAAGGUGAUAUGAACCGUUACAGCCGGCGAUGUCCGAAUGGGGAAACCCAGUGCAAUUCGUUGCACUAUCGUUAACUGAAUACAUAGGUUAACGAGGCGAACCGGGGGAACUGAAACAUCUAAGUACCCCGAGGAAAAGAAAUCAACCGAGAUUCCCCCAGUAGCGGCGAGCGAACGGGGAGCAGCCCAGAGUCUGAAUCAGCUUGUGUGUUAGUGGAACGGUCUGGAAAGUCCGACGGUACAGGGUGAUAGUCCCGUACACCAAAAUGCACAGGCUGUGAACUCGAAGAGUAGGGCGGGACACGUGGUAUCCUGUCUGAAUAUGGGGGGACCAUCCUCCAAGGCUAAAUACUCCUGACUGACCGAUAGUGAACCAGUACCGUGAGGGAAAGGCGAAAAGAACCCCGGCGAGGGGAGUGAAAAAGAACCUGAAACCGUGUACGUACAAGCAGUGGGAGCACCUUCGGGUGUGACUGCGUACCUUUUGUAUAAUGGGUCAGCGACUUAUAUUCUGUAGCAAGGUUAACCGUAUAGGGGAGCCGCAGGGAAACCGAGUCUUAACUGGGCGUUAAGUUGCAGGGUAUAGACCCGAAACCCGGUGAUCUAGCCAUGGGCAGGUUGAAGGUUGGGUAACACUAACUGGAGGACCGAACCGACUAAUGUUGAAAAAUUAGCGGAUGACUUGUGGCUGGGGGUGAAAGGCCAAUCAAACCGGGAGAUAGCUGGUUCUCCCCGAAAGCUAUUUAGGUAGCGCCUCGUGAACUCAUCUUCGGGGGUAGAGCACUGUUUCGGCUAGGGGGUCAUCCCGACUUACCAACCCGAUGCAAACUACGAAUACCGAAGAAUGUUAUCACGGGAGACACACGGCGGGUGCUAACGUCCGUCGUGAAGAGGGAAACAACCCAGACCGCCAGCUAAGGUCCCAAAGUCAUGGUUAAGUGGGAAACGAUGUGGGAAGGCACAGACAGCCAGGAUGUUGGCUUAGAAGCAGCCAUCAUUUAAAGAAAGCGUAAUAGCUCACUGGUCGAGUCGGCCUGCGCGGAAGAUGUAACGGGGCUAAACCAUGCACCGAAGCUGCGGCAGCGACACUAUGUGUUGUUGGGUAGGGGAGCGUUCUGUAAGCCUGCGAAGGUGUGCUGUGAGGCAUGCUGGAGGUAUCAGAAGUGCGAAUGCUGACAUAAGUAACGAUAAAGCGGGUGAAAAGCCCGCUCGCCGGAAGACCAAGGGUUCCUGUCCAACGUUAAUCGGGGCAGGGUGAGUCGACCCCUAAGGCGAGGCCGAAAGGCGUAGUCGAUGGGAAACAGGUUAAUAUUCCUGUACUUGGUGUUACUGCGAAGGGGGGACGGAGAAGGCUAUGUUAGCCGGGCGACGGUUGUCCCGGUUUAAGCAUGUAGGCUGGUUAUCCAGGCAAAUCCGGAUAAUCAAGGCUGAGGUGUGAUGACGAGGCACUACGGUGCUGAAGUAACAAAUGCCCUGCUUCCAGGAAAAGCCUCUAAGCAUCAGGUAACAUCAAAUCGUACCCCAAACCGACACAGGUGGUCAGGUAGAGAAUACCAAGGCGCUUGAGAGAACUCGGGUGAAGGAACUAGGCAAAAUGGUGCCGUAACUUCGGGAGAAGGCACGCUGGUGUGUAGGUGAAGUCCCUGCGGAUGGAGCUGAGACCAGUCGAAGAUACCAGCUGGCUGCAACUGUUUAUUAAAAACACAGCACUGUGCAAACACGAAAGUGGACGUAUACGGUGUGACGCCUGCCCGGUGCCGGAAGGUUAAUUGAUGGGGUUAUCCGUAAGGAGAAGCUCUUGAUCGAAGCCCCGGUAAACGGCGGCCGUAACUAUAACGGUCCUAAGGUAGCGAAAUUCCUUGUCGGGUAAGUUCCGACCUGCACGAAUGGCGUAAUGAUGGCCAGGCUGUCUCCACCCGAGACUCAGUGAAAUUGAACUCGCUGUGAAGAUGCAGUGUACCCGCGGCAAGACGGAAAGACCCCGUGAACCUUUACUAUAGCUUGACACUGAACAUUGAGCCUUGAUGUGUAGGAUAGGUGGGAGGCUUUGAAGCGUGGACGCCAGUCUGCGUGGAGCCAACCUUGAAAUACCACCCUUUAAUGUUUGAUGUUCUAACGUUGGCCCCUGACCGGGGUUGCGGACAGUGUCUGGUGGGUAGUUUGACUGGGGCGGUCUCCUCCCAAAGCGUAACGGAGGAGCACGAAGGUUAGCUAAUCCUGGUCGGACAUCAGGAGGUUAGUGCAAUGGCAUAAGCUAGCUUGACUGCGAGCGUGACGGCGCGAGCAGGUGCGAAAGCAGGUCAUAGUGAUCCGGUGGUUCUGAAUGGAAGGGCCAUCGCUCAACGGAUAAAAGGUACUCCGGGGAUAACAGGCUGAUACCGCCCAAGAGUUCAUAUCGACGGCGGUGUUUGGCACCUCGAUGUCGGCUCAUCACAUCCUGGGGCUGAAGUAGGUCCCAAGGGUAUGGCUGUUCGCCAUUUAAAGUGGUACGCGAGCUGGGUUUAGAACGUCGUGAGACAGUUCGGUCCCUAUCUGCCGUGGGCGCUGGAGAAUUGAGGGGGGCUGCUCCUAGUACGAGAGGACCGGAGUGGACGCAUCACUGGUGUUCGGGUUGUCAUGCCAAUGGCACUGCCCGGUAGCUAAAUGCGGAAGAGAUAAGUGCUGAAAGCAUCUAAGCACGAAACUUGCCCCGAGAUGAGUUCUCCCUGAGACUUUAAGUCUCCUGAAGGAACGUUAAAGACGAUGACGUUGAUAGGCCGGGUGUGUAAGCGCAGCGAUGCGUUGAGCUAACCGGUACUAAUGAACCGUGAGGCUUAACCUU
RNAcentral lists this ribosomal RNA (2902 nucleotides) under Klebsiella pneumoniae. RNAcentral describes it as "23S ribosomal RNA". It matches the Rfam family "Bacterial large subunit ribosomal RNA". Lineage: Bacteria; Pseudomonadati; Pseudomonadota; Gammaproteobacteria; Enterobacterales; Enterobacteriaceae. The record is from RNAcentral.